RNAcentral lists this ribosomal RNA (483 nucleotides) under uncultured bacterium. Its description in RNAcentral is "partial 16S ribosomal RNA". It matches the Rfam family "Bacterial small subunit ribosomal RNA", at positions 28 to 523 of the family's 1533-position model. The record is from RNAcentral.
GAUGAACGCUGGCGGCGUGCUUAACACAUGCAAGUCGAACGGUGAAGCAGAGCUUGCUCUGUGGAUCAGUGGCGAACGGGUGAGUAACACGUGAGCAACCUGCCCCGGACUCUGGGAUAAGCGCUGGAAACGGCGUCUAAUACCGGAUACGAGAUUCCACCGCAUGGUGAGUUUCUGGAAAGAUUUUUUGGUCUGGGAUGGGCUCACGGCCUAUCAGCUUGGUGGUGAGGUAAUGGCUCACCAAGGCGUCGACGGGUAGCCGGCCUGAGAGGGUGACCGGCCACACUGGGACUGAGACACGGCCCAGACUCCUACGGGAGGCAGCAGUGGGGAAUAUUGCACAAUGGGCGGAAGCCUGAUGCAGCAACGCCGCGUGAGGGAUGACGGCCUUCGGGUUGUAAACCUCUUUUAGCAGGGAAGAAGCGAAAGUGACGGUACCUGCAGAAAAAGCGCCGGCUAACUACGUGCCAGCCGCCGCGGUAA